CAUUCACAUUUAUUUUCUUUUUCUUUUUUUAAUUCAUUUUAUUUUCUGUUUUGUUUUUUAUUAAUAAAAAUAUUUUAUUUAUUCAUAAAAAUACCAAAAAAUAUUUUCCACAUUUCUUAAUGUUUUAUUUAAUUUUAUUUAAUUUUUAUUUUCAUAUUUAUUUAAUGUUAAUAUUUCAUUUUAAUUAUUUAUUUCAAGUGGUUCAUAUUAGCAUACUUUUUU
Molecule: long non-coding RNA, 222 nt
Filed under: Lathyrus oleraceus (garden pea)
Lineage: Eukaryota; Viridiplantae; Streptophyta; Magnoliopsida; Fabales; Fabaceae
Description: Pisum sativum (pea) long non-coding RNA (PSAT_LNC013980)
Source: RNAcentral